AUGGCAGAAUGCUUCAAUAAGGUGCUCAAGGGUGUAUGUGCAUUACCCGUGAUGGCAAUAGUUCAAUACACAUUUGACAAGAUGAAUGAAUACUUUUUGAAGCACUCAAUGGAGACUGAUAAGCAGAUUGCUGGUGAGAACAAGGAUAAGCACAAGUACAAUUUCCCACCAAAGGUUGAAGAAUGGUUGGAAUUUCAAUCACGAAAGGCAGACUCCGAAGAAGCUGUUCUAUAUGACGACAACGAGUGGAAGUAUGAGGUGAAAGAGCCCGGAGGAACCACAAAUGAUGGCCGCCAGCACGGAGGCCGGGCUUUCAAGGUCUCCCUAACACGGUGUGAUUGCAGCUGCAUGAGGCCGUCUUUGCUUCAUCUCCCAUGCUCGCACUUGUUAAAUGCAUCCCGGGUUAGGAAUGUGGACGUCAAUCACCCUCUAACCGUGAGGGAGUCCUAGUUCUCAAACAUGACGGUAAAGAAGACAUGGACUCCACGGUUCCAGCCAUACUUGGACCAAUCACAAUGGCCGGAGUAUCAUGGAGUUCAACUAUGGCCGGACCCG
Molecule: ribosomal RNA, 555 nt
Filed under: Triticum aestivum (bread wheat)
Lineage: Eukaryota; Viridiplantae; Streptophyta; Magnoliopsida; Poales; Poaceae
Description: partial small subunit ribosomal RNA
Source: RNAcentral